This is a long non-coding RNA of Rosa rugosa (rugosa rose), 3251 nucleotides long. RefSeq lists it as uncharacterized. The record is from RefSeq and is a predicted model, not a curated record. The transcript has 5 exons. Lineage: Eukaryota; Viridiplantae; Streptophyta; Magnoliopsida; Rosales; Rosaceae.
CAAACCCUAGCCUCCAAACCUCAUUUUCCUCACUUCACACUCUCUCUCUCUCUGUUCAACUCUCCCUCUCUCUCAUCCGAUCCUCUCUUUCUUUGAUUCGCCGGCCGCCGCAGUACCCCAAUCAACAUCAAAAUUUCCAGAUUUUCUCCUCUUUAUUCCCUCUAUUUAUUUCUCAAAACAAAAUCGUGAGAUUUAGCCAUUCAAUCAUCCAAAAACUCUAGAACCCAAAAUUAAUUUGGGGGUUUUUGUGACUUCUUCAUUCUAAGUCCAAAUCAAGGCUACGGGUUUGGCAAGGAUUUGUGGUAAGGAUCUAUUCCAUGCAACCUUAUUUUGAGUUUUUGGUUGUAGGUGCUGUUUUUGGACGGAUUUGUAAGUGAAAAAGACUAAGGAGGAGGAGAGGCCACGGUUUUUGGAGAAGAAAGGGAUAGUUGAAAAAAUUACUGUGUAGGAGAUCGAGGGGCUUGGUUUUGAUCUUUUGUUGUUUACUCUGAGUUACAAGUGUAUGAUUUUGGUGGCCUCGGCGUGUUGGGUCCAGUUUUUUGCGAUGGUGGGGAACACUGUCAGGAGCUGCUCGUAGAUCGGCGCCGCCUCCGAGAUCGAAAAACGGUGGGCCUAAUUGGCCUGAUGACUGGCCAUUGUAUUUGGGAUUAUGGUGAGGUAAAUGUGGGUUCAAGAAUCUCUACUUAGACCUGUAAAUGGACCGGAUUUUGAUCCAGACCCGCUCCAGAUCCAUGGCUAUUAACGGGUUUGGAUUGAAAAUUUUGAUCCGUUGAUCUGUUAAUGAUCCGAAUCCGUUAACCCGUUUAUUUAACGGAUCAAAUACGGAUUUAGGUCGAUCCGAUCCGUUAAUGAUCCGGCCCGUUUUUGUAAUAAUACAAUAUUAUUUUUUAUUAAUAUGUUAUUAUUUUUUUAAAAUAUAAAAUAUAAAAUAUGAAGAAUUUCUAAUACAGAUUUUUUGCAAAAAUCUAAGAGACAGUCCAUCACCUAAGAUUCCAAAAAACAUUAAGAAUUUUGAUAAUGUAAUUCUACUUUUGGUGAUCAUUUUCAUGUUGUUUUAAUAUUUUAUUAAUAUCUUAUGAGGUAUCAUGAUAUAAAUUUAAUAUUACUAUUUAAAAUUUUAAAAUAUUUGAAAUUAUAAACGGGUCGGAUUAGCGGAUCGGGUAUCCGUUAAUCCGGCGGGUACGGAUUUGGAUCGAGCUAUCAAUGAUCCGUCGGGUUAACGGAGCGGGUUUGGAUCAAAUUUUUUUUUUAAGUAAACGGAUUUGGAUUUAGGUUGAUCCGGUCCAAAUCCGGUCUAUUUAUAGGUCUAUCUCUACUGUGUCACUUAUAUAAGGUCAAACAAUAAUCCAACACAAAACAAAGGUUAGCUCAGUGGAUAAGGCUGGCUUAACGAUAUUUUGGCUGCGUGGGUUCGAAUGGUCGAUCUAGCUCAACUUCGUUUUUCUUUUUCUUAUUUUAAUUAUUUCUUUCUAUAAUCUUUUUUUUUUUGGGCCAAUGAUAAAAAAAUGUUAUUUUCAAGUGCCUUAUUAUAAUUCAGGACACACAAAUGUCCUCAUGAUAACUAAGGUCACAUCUUUACAACCUACCAUUAGAAAUAACAAAAUUUACAACUCAUGCCAUCGUCUCCCGCUUCCCCAAUCCAUUUCAGAAUAUAAUUAACCCUUCUCUCUCUCUCUCUCUCAAUUGACCUCACCGCCAUGGCUCGAAGAUCUUCUGCCACCUUCUAACAAAGCCCCAACCCGGCAUCACGGUCCAAACCCGAUCGUUCACCUACAUGCCCCCACCCGGCGACGGAGCUCCGCGUGCCGUAACCAAAAUCCCUGGCGACGGAAUCGGACCGCUCGUCACGAACGCCGUCGAGAAGGUGAUGGAGGCGAUGCACGCGCCGUUUUACUUCGAGAAGUACGAUGUCACCAGCGAGAUGCCGAGGGUGCCGGAGGAGGUGAUUGAGUAGAUCAUAAAGAACAAGGUGUGCCUGAAAGGCAAGCUGGCGACGCCGAUGGGCAGCGGCGUUAGCUCGCUGAACAUGAAGCUCCGGCGAGAUCUCGAUCUCUAUGCUUCGUUGGUCAACUGCUUCAAUAUGCGUUACAGACCAGGCAUGACAACAUCGACAUUGUGGUGAUCAGGGAGAACACCGAGGGUGAGUACUCGGGGCUCGAGCACGAGAUCAUUCAUGGAGUUGUUGAAAGCCUUAAAGGUACUUUUUGGAGGAUUUGAUGCCUCCAAUAAUUUGAUAAAGCUUGGAGGAAGAUAGAUGUUGCCUUUGGACUGCUUGCCUCGUAAUAGAAGACCUGCUUCUACAGAGAAGGUGACAGAUAAGGUGAAAGAUAUAUGUAACUUGAAAAUUGAGCAGCAGCAAAGGAAGCAACAUGGACAGGAGUCCAAGGAGGAGAAGAAAGAGCGGAAGGUAUGGGUCUGCUAUUUGUUUUAGCUCAUCUUGGACAUGAUAUUUUAUUCAUCUUGCCUUACCAUUAAAGAUUAAUAUGCCAGCUUAUGAUAAUGAAAAUCCAGAAACUGUCAUUGUAAGAGUAAACUGUGAGCAUAUAACUUGCAUUCAAAUAUCUCAUAGCUACUGAUUUUGGCAUUUGAUAAUUCCAGGAAUUGUACCUUCUGUUUUGUAGUUGUGUUGGUAAAUUUAUGUUGGUUCUUUGAUGAUAACUUGAAUAUAUCUAAGUGCAAGCAACUGUCAAUGAGGAAAGACAUGAGGCAUGGCACGCUAAAAAGAAAUUGAAGGGACUUUACAAGGGUGAAGGGCAACAUUCUCAGAGAGUAGCUGCUAUAUCUGGCUCUUCUUCCAAACGUUUGAUGUGAUUGGGCUGAUCAUCAAAUGGUGAAACUAAGAGUGCAUUGGAUUUUUGUCAAGAAGUGUGGCACCCCCUCAGCUUUCAUGGUUUGAAGCACGUAUAUGUCAUCAGUUUUAAGAGAAUGGAUACAAGUUGGUUUAAAACAACAUAUCAUCGAUUCAAAUCUAUGUUUCUGAUGUUGUGGACAUGUCAUAGUAUAUAGGAUAUGAGUUGAGUAGUUCUUUAGGGCUAGAGAUUGAAGAUAAUAAAUCGUCUCUCUUCAACAUAUUUCAUUUCUUUUUGUCUGGAUAUUUCUAGUGAAGCCACAGGCCAUGUCAAUGACAAUGUCAGUUACAUGGUCAGUUACAUACAUUGUAAGUUACAUGGUUAGUUACAUGAUCAGUUACAUGGUCAGUUACAUACAUUGUAAGCUAGAGCUUGAAGAUAAUAAAUCGUCUCUCUUCAACA